Long non-coding RNA from Sinocyclocheilus anshuiensis, 1460 nucleotides. NCBI's taxonomy places the organism in Eukaryota, Metazoa, Chordata, Actinopteri, Cypriniformes, Cyprinidae. The record is from Ensembl.
CGCGUUACCUAGUACCACAAAAACGACAGGCUAUUCAUGGAGAAACCAGUCUCAGAUGAAGAACUUUUGACAUUGCCGAGUGCUACUGCUUAACGUGGAGUUCAGAGGCGGGUUUGCACAACAAACAGAUGUUCUUUGAUGUCAGCUGCAGUGAGGGGGAGGCAAAAAAUGGGAACGCUAAAAAGAAGUAGGAGGAAGGUGUCAGAACUCUAAUCACCAUGCAGCGCUCAGAAAGAAAUCUAUUGUAUCUCUUAGCACAAACACUGACUUUGAGUCACAGUUACAACGCCGGCUCGCUGAUCCAGAGAAGCUAAAUUACACAGGCUGUCAACCAAACCAACGUAGAGCUCCGUUCGGGCUUGUAAUAAAUUAUGUAAAAGAGCCUAACAGCAAGAAAAUGGCCGUGCCAUUUACUGUCACUUCAGACAAUUUGUAUUAUGACAUUUCACGAACGCUUGGCCAAUUACACUGCAUAGAUCUAUUGCAUAAACUAAAUAAUAGUUUCUCCACUCCAGCUAUGUGAUUUAGUUAUUCAUUAAACCACCCACAUCACAAGUGCAAAAUACAGCUCAGGACAUGUACUCCAUGAACAGCUCAUUUAGGUUAGUGUGUGUGUGUGUCAGCACUGUGUAUACGUUUUACACCCGCAUGCCUACAAAACCAGUAGUAUUUUCCAAAACAACUACGUUUACAUGUCACAAUUUAUUUCCACUGCAGUCAGCCUAGUAGAUGCUAUUGAUGGUGUAAAAGAGUACUGGUGUUUGUUAAAAGCAAAAACUGCUAUCAUAUUACAACAAAUAUAUCUACUGUCUAUAUGAUAUCUACAUUUUUUUCCGUUUGAAACAAAUACAUGUUUAUCUGUUGACCGCAUGAUUCAUUUGAAAUACUAUUUAAAUACUACUUUAAAAUGAAUCACUAAGAAUUUGUAUUAAUACUAAUAUAUUUAAAAUACAUUUCCACAAUUUUAAUUCAGAAACACAGGUUAUCGGCCACCUCUCUGAAUCUUUUGAGAUGCUAUCCUAGACCUUUUACACUACUACAAAUAUAGUAUGAAAAAUGUAUUAUCACACCUUUCAGUUUAGCCUAAGAUCAUAACGGUAUAGAUUUUGUUUGGAUAAAAGAUGCACGCUGUGUAAUGUCUCUCUAGUUCAGGCUCAUUUCCAAUACUUUUCCAUUGUCUCAACAGUUUCAACUGCAAUAUUGGUUACAGUUUAAUCAGACCUCCAUUCGCUGACCGACAUUUUAGCUUUAACUAGUCAGCUGCCUUUGUGAUGGAGGAGCUGUCAUAAGGUGCAAUAAAAACACUCACACACGCAUAACUAUCUGACAUGAGGGUGUGACGUGUCAAGACAUGUAGGCAUUACCAUUGUCUAGGCUGAAGUACUGUAUGGUAGCUUAUCUUGACGAAUCUCCAUCAGUAACUGAACAGUUCACCCAUAAAUGAAAAACCAUUUACUCGU